CAUUAAUCAACAGGUCAGCAAAAAAAAAAAAAACCCACAAUAACGUAUGUAUGAAUUCACAAAUAAAUUCCAUCCGCUGUCCUAAAGUGGAAAUCAUAGAACACAUAGAGUCAAACGACAGUAGAUCAUGACAAGUGGACGCAAUGUUCAGAAAUAUAACAAAAGAAAAGGUCACCCUUUGCAUAAAAGUUUCAAAUUCAUACAUGAAACAUAAAAGAAAAAAUGUUGAGUUAUACGAGAACAGGUCUGGCCUGCUAUCGGACUGUUUAAAGGUUCAACAGUAAUUAAGUAUUUGUACACAGUUACUUGCUACUAAUGCCGUGAACCACGGGAAAGCGGACGCCAAAUCUACUAAAAAUGGCCUCCAAUUCAUUUUCAAGUUAUUAAUGAGCCGCUCUGCCUGUCAGGUUUUAAGUUCCCCUACAAGUUUGUGUGUGCGCGCGGUGGCCAUAGAUCUCCGUUUCUCCCUCUCCAGGUCAACUCUGCAAUCUCCUGCAGCUUUGUACUCAAGCCUGACCGUCCAUCUUGUCUUUUUAAAAGCUGCUGUUACGAGCCUGGGAAGGCCUCAUUUGGGAGUCUGCUUUAGAUACUGCAGACGGUCAAAUGCGGGAAGUACAUACGUGAGUAAUAUUUACAGCAAAGAGUAGUCAGAGGGUGCUUAUUUAUUUGAUUUACAAAACAUAUUUUACCUCCCUCAACGCACGUCGCGGUCACUGUGAUUUGACGGGCGCGGGUCAUCGCACUCGCAAAUCUGCACAGGCGAGCACGAAAAAUCACGCGCGUAAAAUUUGCUACGAGUAGAAAUACAUAGAAAUUGAAAGACGUCGCCUAUUUAGUGUAGUCUUGACCAAUGUUUCCGUCCUCUAAGCUGCGCCACUGCGCAAUUGCGCACUUGCCGCACAUUCUCAGCGCACGUGAAAACCGAUCCAGCGCAGUGAACCGCAGCACACCACACGGUCUCUUCCAACGAGUUGAUGCUCAGCCUACCUCUACUUCCUAGUUUACCUGACACCGCCCCCCUCCGCUCUUAAAGGGGUACACGCAUAAUUACAAACAGAACACACACCUGCAACUUUAUAUCCGCGGGCAUGGCUGGUGGACCACACCUGUAACUUUAUAUCUGCGGGCAUGACUGACCACACCCGUACAUUUUUCAUAUGUGAAUAACUGCCAUCGUGUACCAAUUGCUUGCUCUUUGCUAUAAAUGUCUCUUUCAAAUCAAAAAUUGUUCUUAAAUUAAUCCCAUGGUGGGUCAUCCACCGAAGAGAAGUAAAACCCUCCCUCAAAUAGAUGUCUGAUUUCAAUUAGUUCUCAUCAUUUUCAAAAUAAAUUCCUCCAUCAAGUAGAAACCGUUUCCAAAUGGAUCACCGGGUCGGUCAUCCACCUGAGAGAAAUAAACACCUCUUUCAAAUAUCUCCAAUUAGUCUUUGCUUGCACCGUCGACUCGCGAUCAAUAAAUGCCUCCCUCCAAUAUAAGCCGGGUCCAAAUCAGUCGCCGGACUGUCAGUCCCUUGAAAAUAGUCCGUUGCCAGCUUGGUCCUCCACUGAAAGUAACUAAACGCUUCACUCGGAUAGCGGACAACCGGCCCCAAUUAAUCAGAGAAUUGAUAUAAACGCCUCCGUCAAGUAAAUCCCUGGUCCAAAUCAGUACAGCUUUCGUUACCGUGGCCACCGCGGCCGAAUUAGGGGGUUGCGACGAGGCUAGCGGCUCGCGUUUGCCGAAGUGGAACCCAGACUGUAAAAAUAAUAACAAUAAAAAAAAUACUUCAAAACAAGCACUUUGCAUUCCGCUCGAUGAGUGCCGCCCCAUUGUAGGAAAUAACGGCGGGACGGAAAAAUCCGGAUCUCCGUCCGGCGCGUCCAGCUGCCGCUCUGUCUUGAAUUUCCACCAUGCUGCACUUUCAAAAAGAGGAGAUUGGAUUUCCAUCGUGCAUUUUUUUUUUUUUUCCUUUUCCCCCCCUCGCAUAAAAGAUUUAUCUCCACGUCGUCCUCCCCGAUAGCCGCCUGGCUCUUACCGGAGACGGCGGGGCCCGUGAGCGGCGCUACUUUUUGCAACGGCGCUAUCGGUUUCACAUAUGGCCGCUUGGCCCGGUUUUUAACGCAAGCUCUGGGUUUGGUUUUUUUUUUUCCCCCACUUCAAUGGUGUCGGCUCGAGACGGGGUCAACUUUACAGCCGAAGGUGAGAAAGGCGGCGCUUUACUGGCCUGGUUGAGCUGUAAAAUUGCAGAGGUUCUCUUGUAAAUCUCGCGGUGGCAAAAGCGAUGCUUUCAAUUUCAUUUUUCAAAUUUUGAUUUUAAUGUGUCAACGCUGAACAGCAGCAAAAUUCUUUACAAUGCUUUUGCUGACAAAUGCUGAUGCAUUUAUCGACCGAUUCGAACUAUUCUGACGUCAAAAUAAUUUGGGACGUCUGUGCUAUUACUUGACCCGCAAAUCCCACUUUUGUCCCAAUUCCAUAUUUGCCCCCCCCCCCCCCACACACACACACACACACACAUUAACAUUAAUGGAGAAAUUGAACGAAUUGAAUAUUUCUGAAGCGAUUCAAAUUAUUCGAGUGUCAAAAUAUUACACUAAUUCACGACAUCACAGGAUUGUUUCUCACAUUUUGAGAAAAGGGGGGGGGUUAAACUAAUAAGGACGAGAUGGUGGAUCAGAUGGAAAGUGUUGGCCUCACAGUUCUGAAGUCCCGGGAUCAAUCCAUGUUCUCCCCUUGCCUAUGUGAGUUUUCUUCGUCCACUCCGGUUUCCUCACACAUCCCAAAAACAUACAACAUUAAUUUUACACUCUAAAUUGCCCCUAGGUGUGAUUGUGAGUGCAGCUAUUUGUCUCGAUGUGCCCUGCGAUUGGCUGGCGAGCAGUUCAGGGUGUACCCCGCCUCCUGCCCAACGACAGCUGGGCUAGGCUCCUGCACUCCCCGCGACCCUUGUGGGGAUAAGCAGCUAAGAAAAUGGCUGGAUGGAUAAACUAAUUCAGUUCAGGGUAUAGUCCGCCUUUCGCCCGGAGCUAGCUGCGAUAGGCUUACAGCUUUCCAGCAACAUUUGUGAGGAUAGGCGGCUUGGAUACUGACAUGACAUGAUAACCUCUGUUAACUUCAUAACAUUUUCAAUUUCAAAAGAUAAAAGCUAAAAAAUUUAACAAUUUGUAAAGUAAUUUCAAAUCAGUCUAAAUAUGUUCAACAUUCCAAAAAAUUUCCACAUGUAUGAAUGGAGAACUUGAGAAUUUCUUUUUUUUUUUUUUUACAUUCCCAUACAUCCAACAUCAAAAUAUUAAUUUUACUAGCAACAAAAGCAUUCAUAUUGAUGCAGAAAUUUGAAAAAAUCAUCUUAAAAAACAGCAUUCAUGCACCAAUUUAAAUCCUUCAAACUCCAGAAUGUUCAACAUCCUAAAAAUUCUUUUCUCCGUCAUCUAUAAAACCAUAAACUGAUUUUAAUCACUGACUUUUGAACUGUUCAACAUUGUCAGAACGCCACGUUUUCCAUGAGAAAAAUAGUCCCAAUAAAAAACAAAAAUGAAUUAACUUUCACAAUAAUACAACUCCACAUUUUCCACGACAAAAUUCCCCAAUUAAUGGAAAGAUUUAAUCAAUCCAAUUCAAGCUAAUCGAACUCGAAAACGCUCAAACGCCCGACGAGUCGCAAGCCCCCAACCCCCCCGGCGUGGUCGCCGUCGCCGCGGAGCGCCUUCGCGGCACGGCGCGAAUUCCCGAGAUUACCGCAAAUGACGAGUAAUCCGAGGCUCCCUGGAUUCGGGAGAGGUUUGGGAUUAAGGGUUCAAGUUGCAGUUGACGUGGCGGAACGUCCGCUUCCCGCUCGGAGCGGCGAGGCGAAACGGGGGGUUGGGGUGGGGGGUGUUGCUCUGUGGGAAAGAGGAAAAGAUAAGAUAAGAAGUGACUUCUCAUUUUUCCCCCAAUUAAACGGGGAAAUGAGAUUGGAAUGGACUAAAGUGUCUCCCGGGACGCAUUCCAACUUCAAAACAUUUGGUUUGAUUUAAAGCAGAGGGCGCAAACGGUUGCUUUGGCUCCUGUGCUCCCCCUACGGGCUGGAAAUGGAAUUUGCUUUUCAGUUCCUAAAGAAAUAGAAGUAUUAGACUGGGUCAAAUUUGAACGUUUAUGUUUCAUAUUAAAGGGGACAUGUCACAUUGAUGUUUCAGUUGCUUGAGUUUGUAAUCGUGUAAUUACAUAAUUAGGAAAGUGCAACAUCAAUAAUUUGUCUUUUAAAGAAACAAACAAUGCAGACCAGUGCAAUGUUUGUUUUUUAACUGCAGAGGAAGUGCUACACCAGUAUUUUUAUGAACAAAAAAGAUAUAAGAGAAAGAAAUAAGAGCAGUCUGUGUUCGAGUCCGAGCAUCAGCGAGCCAUGACACCGCGAUUAUUUACAAUGGAGAUGUGGCAAGAAGGUGAAGAAAUAUAAAUGUUGCGGUUUAUCAUUUGUGUCCCUGCUAUUUAGCUAAAUGUUUGAAACAAGUGUUGCGUUAUUACUUUGUAAUUACUGUCAUGUCCUUGCAUGUGCCGGUGCACUUUUCGGCUAUUUAUUCACUUUUCAGCCAUUUAUUAAACAUUUAGAGAACAGUCGACAGUCCACUUAAACAUAAAUGACGCACUCACGCAGGAUCUGCUGUCGGCCACAGCUCGCACCUAGACGCUCACACACAACCUUGAGGCCGUCACACCAAGGGUGACGGAGGGGAUGCAACAUGGGAGACGUGAUUGUCACAUUGAUUAACUCUUCACUGUGACAAUAAACUCUGUACCACCGGGAGCCUGACAUGUCUGACACCGCUGGAGAGUCUCUGAAGGAAAUGCGCGGCGGUCCCGCCUCAAACGCGCGGAGCUGAGUCACGCCGUCAGCUGCGAAAAGCUGCCAAUUUGUCCUCACCUAUUUGUCGGGCUGACGUCACGGCGGGAUUUACGCGCCUCCGUCGGGCCGCCCCGCUGCGUCUUGCUGGCUCCGAAAAGCCAUGCGAACAGGAAGCCGCGGGGGCAGACGAUCAAGUGCCACCUUCCCUCCUGCAGGAGAGCGUGCGGCGGUGAGACCCAAGGCCAACAACGCGCCCACGGCUCACAUCCUCUGUGGAAGCAAAGCCCUGAUACGUCCGAACGGAAACCGGCCGCAGUUAUUCGAGGGCGGCACCCAAACUAUUGUGUGCUGAAUGAACACUUCAGGGCCUUUCGCACCAGCAGAACCGGCAACUGGAGUCCAAAGCCUCGGUUCUCCAACGUCCGCGUUCUCGGACAAAUCUGUUUUCGAGCGAAAAUUUUGUGUUUUUUGGGGUUUUUUUUUGCUUGUUUUCGAACAAAAAUCGGUACUGGAACGCCCACACAAAACCCGGAAAUAACAGAACACGCACGGCCAGACCAGCUGAAACCACGACGCGCUUUGUUGUGAAUUCCCACCCCGCUGAACAAACCCGGAAAUAACAGAAUGCGCGCGGCCCGACCAGCUGACCCACCCACGACGCGCUUUGUUAUUGUCAAUUUGAACGAACCCCUGGAAAAACACGGAAAUAACAUAAGGUGGACGGUCCGACCAGCUGACGCACCCACGACACGCUUUGUUAUUGUCAAUUUGAACGAAAACCCGGAAAUAACAUAACUCGCGCGGUGGUUGAUUCAGUUUUCGAACAAAUCAGAUUUCGACCCGCCUUCUGGAACGGAUUGCUGGCGAGAACCGAGGCUCUUCUGUACACCAAACAAGAACUGUUCUGAACUUCCCUGUCCAAACAUCCCCAAACAACUUGAACCAAUCCGACGGUAGUUCUCACGUAGACAACGCAAUGUUGCGCCAUUUCUCCACAAUAGUCACUUGUUUUUGUUUUCAGUGUCAUAAAUAAAUAGCUGUACACCGUUGACAUUAGACAAGAAAACAGUUGUGAGGUGAAACAUUGAACCUGGGAACAGGUGCAGUUCUCUGGCACGUUGGUUUUCCAAGUGGUUUUACUUGAGCUUUAAAACAAGUUUGUGAUAAACCAAUAAACUCCUCCCGACCUUAGUUUUGGGUCUGUCAAAAGCUUAUGAUGAUUGUGAUGUAUUAUGUUAGUAAUACAUCACAUUGUCUGUGAUGAACUGGGUACAAUUCUGGGGCAGUACCACAAGUUUAGAAAACGGCUGGACGGAAAGUGUAGGCAUAAGGUCGAGCUACAAUAAAUACAGCAAAUUAUGCUAAUAACUUUAUUAGUGGGACCAACAUGGCA
Molecule: long non-coding RNA, 6189 nt
Organism: Syngnathoides biaculeatus (alligator pipefish)
Lineage: Eukaryota; Metazoa; Chordata; Actinopteri; Syngnathiformes; Syngnathidae
Exons: 3
Source: RefSeq, a predicted model, not a curated record